Molecule: long non-coding RNA, 316 nt
Organism: Ictalurus punctatus (channel catfish)
Lineage: Eukaryota; Metazoa; Chordata; Actinopteri; Siluriformes; Ictaluridae
Exons: 3
Source: RefSeq, a predicted model, not a curated record
CUGAAGAAUGAGAGCAUCUUCCUGAAGGACCAGGUACAAACAUUGCAAGGGUCAGUGGAGAAGUUGGAGGGAUAACUCCAUGAGACCCAAAGGAUUUAUGAAGAGAUACUGAACAUAAGAGCGGGAGCAACAGUGGAAGGAUCACAGAACCCUUUUGUCCCAGUAUGAAGAUGUUAAGAUCACAGAACCUCACAGUCGAGUCAGAACCCCACAUACCAAACCCAGCGUAUAGAGGCUGAGUGAAUGUGGUAUGGACUCUGUGGAGCAGCUUCAUCGUGUCAGAGACGCUGUAGAAGGACAGAGUUCCUGCACUGUG